AUGCUAUCGGGUCGUCCCGCGGAGGAAAUGCCCAGGUCUGCGGGUGAUCUUCUAUCCGAGCUCUCACAACUGCAUGAACAAGUUCGGCAGGUGAUGCAAGGUAUUGCCCAGGCCUUAUGGCCCUCCGUCUCCCUGCCGAAAGGCAUUGUAGAGCUUACAGAGAAGCUCAAAGGAGCACGGCGGCGCUUCCUGUUAUGGAAGAUAUCGGCCUGCCGUCAAGGUGCCAGGGAGGCCUGGACCAUGGUGAAGACGCGGUAUACCAAGGCUGGCCCAAAUCACAUGGCCGAGGUCGGACCUGUGGGGCCCGACGGGAAAGAGAUCCCUAUUAGCUUAGUUUAUGGGCAAGUGGAAUUAGCCGCAAAGUAUUCCCAACAGGAUUGUAAGCUAGACCGCCUGUUGGAUGGUAUAGAAGAGGAAUUUAGUCAGUCUGCAUGA
RNAcentral lists this ribosomal RNA (435 nucleotides) under Triticum aestivum (bread wheat). Its description in RNAcentral is "partial small subunit ribosomal RNA". The record is from RNAcentral. Lineage: Eukaryota; Viridiplantae; Streptophyta; Magnoliopsida; Poales; Poaceae.